RNAcentral lists this ribosomal RNA (370 nucleotides) under uncultured bacterium. RNAcentral describes it as "bacterial SSU rRNA". It matches the Rfam family "Bacterial small subunit ribosomal RNA", at positions 29 to 416 of the family's 1533-position model. The record is from RNAcentral.
AACGAACGCUGGCGGCAUGCCUAGCACAUGCAAGUCGAACGGGAUCCUGGUUUCGGCCAGGUGAGAGUGGCGGACGGGUGAGUAACGCGUGGGAACCUGCCCAGUGGUGGGGGAUAACUGCGGGAAACUGCAGCUAAUACCGCAUGAGCCCGCAAGGGGAAAGAUUGAUCGCCAUUGGAGGGGCCCGCGUUCGAUUAGGUAGUUGGUGAGGUAACGGCUCACCAAGCCUACGAUCGAUAGCUGGUCUGAGAGGAUGAUCAGCCACACUGGGACUGAGAUACGGCCCAGACUCCUACGGGAGGCAGCAGUGGGGAAUAUUGGACAAUGGGGGCAACCCUGAUCCAGCAAUGCCGCGUGAGUGAUGAAGGCC